UUAAGCAUAUCAAUAAGCGGAGGAAAAGAAACUAACAAGGAUUCCCCUAGUAGCGGCGAGCGAAGCGGGAAGAGCUCAAAUUUAUAAUCUGGCACCUUCGGUGUCCGAGUUGUAAUCUCUAGAAGUGUUUUCCGCGUUGGACCGCACACAAGUCUGUUGGAAUACAGCGGCAUAGUGGUGAAACCCCCGUAUAUGGUGCGGACGCCCAGCGCUUUGUGAUACACUUUCAAUGAGUCGAGUUGUUUGGGAAUGCAGCUCAAAUUGGGUGGUAAAUUCCAUCUAAAGCUAAAUAUUGGCGAGAGACCGAUAGCGAACAAGUACCGUGAGGGAAAGAUGAAAAGCACUUUGGAAAGAGAGUUAACAGUACGUGAAAUUGUUGGAAGGGAAACGCUUGAAGUCAGACUUGCUUGCCGGAGCUUGCUUCGGUUUGCAGGCCAGCAUCAGUUUUCCGGGGUGGAUAAUGACGGUUUGAAGGUAGCAGUCUCGGCUGUGUUAUAGCUUUCCGUUGGAUACAUCCUGGGGGACUGAGGAACGCAGCGUGCUUUUUGCGAAAGACUCGUCUUUUUCACGCUUAGGAUGCUGGUGGAAUGGCUUUAAACGACCC
RNAcentral lists this ribosomal RNA (604 nucleotides) under Rhodotorula diobovata. RNAcentral's name for it is "LSU rRNA". It matches the Rfam family "Eukaryotic large subunit ribosomal RNA", at positions 34 to 650 of the family's 3401-position model. Lineage: Eukaryota; Fungi; Basidiomycota; Microbotryomycetes; Sporidiobolales; Sporidiobolaceae. The record is from RNAcentral.